This 219-nucleotide long non-coding RNA is filed under the name Musa acuminata (dwarf banana). RNAcentral describes it as "long non-coding RNA (MACU_LNC009084)". The record is from RNAcentral. Lineage: Eukaryota; Viridiplantae; Streptophyta; Magnoliopsida; Zingiberales; Musaceae.
GAGCAUGCAGAGGCAAACUCCAAGUACUGAGACAAGGCUGAAGGGCAGAGGCUAAGGAACUUCGUAAGACUAGUGUCAACGAGCUUCUCAUCAAGAUAGCCGAAAGUGAAGGACUUCGGGUCAUACAAGAGUGCACGACCAAGGAACGAAAUAGGCAGUAUGUGGUGUUAUACCUUUGCUACUCAGUGGAGUAGGCGGCAGGGUUGAUGGAGAAGACGG